AAUGAACGCUGGCGGCGCGCCUAAUACAUGCAAGUCGAGCGAGAAGACGUAGCAAUACGUUUGUAAAGCGGCGAACGGGUGAGGAAUACAUGGGUAACCUACCCUCGAGUGGGGAAUAACUAGCCGAAAGGUUAGCUAAUACCGCGUACGCUUCUUGGACUUCGGUUCAGGGAGGAAAGCGAUGCCGAGGGUAUCGCGCUCUUGGAUGGGCUCAUGUCCUAUCAGCUUGUUGGGAGGUAACGGCUCACCAAGGCUUCGACGGGUAGCUGGUCUGAGAGGACGAUCAGCCACACUGGCACUGCGACACGGGCCAGACUCCUACGGGAGGCAGCAGUAAGGAAUAUUGCGCAAUGGGCGAAAGCCUGACGCAGCGACGCCGCGUGGGGGAUGAAGGUCUUCGGAUUGUAAACCCCUUUCGGGAGGGAAGAUGGAAUGGGGUAACCCAUUCGGACGGUACCUCCAGAAGCAGCCACGGCUAACUUCGUGCCAGCCGCCGC
Molecule: ribosomal RNA, 497 nt
Filed under: uncultured bacterium
Lineage: Bacteria
Description: bacterial SSU rRNA
Rfam family: Bacterial small subunit ribosomal RNA
Source: RNAcentral